GGUCGGAAGUUCAAGUCUUCCCAGGCCCACCA
This 32-nucleotide transfer RNA is filed under the name Bradyrhizobium japonicum. RNAcentral describes it as "tRNA-Ile". The record is from RNAcentral. Lineage: Bacteria; Pseudomonadati; Pseudomonadota; Alphaproteobacteria; Hyphomicrobiales; Nitrobacteraceae.